GAUGAAGAACGCAGUGAAAUGCGAUAAGUAAUGUGAAUUGCGGAAUUCAGUGAAUCAUCGAAUCUUUGAACGCACAUUGCGCCCGCCAGUAUUCUGGCGGGCAUGCCUGUUCGAGCGUCAUUUCAACCAUCAAGCCCCCGGCUUGUGUUGGGGACCUGCGGCUGCCGCAGGCCCUGAAAAGCAGUGGCGGGCUCGCUGUCACACCGAGCGUAGUAGCAUACAUCUCGCUCUGGGCGUGCUGCGGGUUCCGGCCGUUAAACCACCUUCAUAACCCAAGGUUGACCUCGGAUCAGGUAGGAAGACCCGCUGAACUUAAGCAUAUCAAUAAGCGGAGGA
RNAcentral lists this unclassified non-coding RNA (336 nucleotides) under soil metagenome. Its description in RNAcentral is "partial contains 5.8S ribosomal RNA, internal transcribed spacer 2, and large subunit ribosomal RNA". The stretch from base 1 to 120 matches the Rfam family "5.8S ribosomal RNA", at positions 35 to 154 of the family's 154-position model. The record is from RNAcentral.